This 497-nucleotide ribosomal RNA is filed under the name uncultured bacterium. RNAcentral describes it as "partial 16S ribosomal RNA". It matches the Rfam family "Bacterial small subunit ribosomal RNA", at positions 28 to 507 of the family's 1533-position model. The record is from RNAcentral.
GACGAACGCUGGCGGCGUGCCUAAUACAUGCGAGUUGAGCGAUGAAGAUUGGUGCUUGCACCAAUUUGAAGAGCAGCGAACGGGUGAGUAACGCGUGGGGAAUCUGCCUUUGAGCGGGGGACAACAUUUGGAAACGAAUGCUAAUACCGCAUAACAACUUUAAACAUAAGUUUUAAGUUUGAAAGAUGCAAUUGCAUCACUCAAAGAUGAUCCCGCGUUGUAUUAGCUAGUUGGUGAGGUAAAGGCUCACCAAGGCGAUGAUACAUAGCCGACCUGAGAGGGUGAUCGGCCACAUUGGGACUGAGACACGGCCCAAACUCCUACGGGAGGCAGCAGUAGUGAAUCUUCGGCAAUGGACGAAAGUCUGACCGAGCAACGCCGCGUGAGUGAAGAAGGUUUUCGGAUCGUAAAACUCUGUUGGUAGAGAAGAACGUUGGUGAGAGUGGAAAGCUCAUCAAGUGACGGUAACUACCCAGAAAGGGACGGCUAACUACGUG